RNAcentral lists this transfer RNA (73 nucleotides) under Zostera marina. Its description in RNAcentral is "tRNA-Tyr". It matches the Rfam family "tRNA". From Rfam's summary of the family: Transfer RNA (tRNA) molecules are approximately 80 nucleotides in length. Their secondary structure includes four short double-helical elements and three loops (D, anti-codon, and T loops). Lineage: Eukaryota; Viridiplantae; Streptophyta; Magnoliopsida; Alismatales; Zosteraceae. The record is from RNAcentral.
CCGACCAUAGUUCAGUUGGUAGAGCGGAGGACUGUAGAUCCUUAGGUCACUAGUUCGAAUCCGGUUGGUCGGA